GACGAACGCUGGCGGCGUGCUUAACACAUGCAAGUCGAACGGAAAGGCCCUGCUUUUGUGGGGUGCUCGAGUGGCGAACGGGUGAGUAACACGUGAGUAACCUGUCCUUGACUUUGGGAUAACUUCAGGAAACUGGGGCUAAUACCGGAUAGGAGCUCCUGCUGCAUGGUGGGGGUUGGAUAGUUUCGGCGGUUGGGGAUGGACUCGCGGCUUAUCAGCUUGUUGGUUGGGUAGUGGCUUACCAAGGCUUUGACGGGUAGCCGGGCUGAGAGGGUGAGCGGCCACGUUAGGCCUGGGAUGCGACCCAGACUCGUACGGGAGGCAGCGGAGGAGAGUGGUACACAGUGGGCGGGAGCCUGAUGUGGCAACGCAGCGUGGGGGGUGACGGGCUUCGGGUAGUGAACCGCUUUCGCCUGUGACGAGGCGUGAGUGACGGUAAUGGGUAAAGAAGCACCGGCUAACUACGUG
This 468-nucleotide ribosomal RNA is filed under the name uncultured bacterium. Its description in RNAcentral is "partial 16S ribosomal RNA". It matches the Rfam family "Bacterial small subunit ribosomal RNA", at positions 28 to 507 of the family's 1533-position model. The record is from RNAcentral.